GACGAACGCUGGCGGCGUGCCUAAUACAUGCCAGUAGAACGCUGAAGGAGGAGCUUGCUCUUCUGGAUGAGUUGCGAACGGGUGAGUAACGCGUAGGUAACCUGCCUGGUAGCGGGGGAUAACUAUUGGAAACGAUAGCUAAUACCGCAUAACAGUAGAUGUUGCAUGACAUUUACUUAAAAGGUGCAAUUGCAUCACUACCAGAUGGACCUGCGUUGUAUUAGCUAGUUGGUGGGGUAACGGCUCACCAAGGCGACGAUACAUAGCCGACCUGAGAGGGUGAUCGGCCACACUGGGACUGAGACACGGCCCAGACUCCUACGGGAGGCAGCAGUAGGGAAUCUUCGGCAAUGGACGGAAGUCUGACCGAGCAACGCCGCGUGAGUGAAGAAGGUUUUCGGAUCGUAAAGCUCGGUUGUAAGAGAAGAACGAGUGUGAGAGUGGAAAGUUCACACUGUGACGGUAUCUUACCAGAAAGGGACGGCUAACUACGUG
RNAcentral lists this ribosomal RNA (495 nucleotides) under uncultured bacterium. RNAcentral's name for it is "partial 16S ribosomal RNA". It matches the Rfam family "Bacterial small subunit ribosomal RNA", at positions 28 to 507 of the family's 1533-position model. The record is from RNAcentral.